GCCCCUGGUGAUUGAUUAGCAAAAGCCCAGGGACACACAUCCUCAGCUCGGACAGACUCUGCAGACCAUCUGGAAACAGAUGAUGCUUAAUAAUGCAGAAUAAUAAAAUCAGCUAAGUUCCCAUUUACAAAUGAAAUAAAUGGAAGAAUUAAUGAUUACACUGAUGCAAUAAGACAGUUUCACACCAAUAAGAGCUCACUAAGUGGUAUUCUCAGCUCUGUCACCCCCGCAGCUAUAACCAAAGAAAUGAAAAGGUAAGAAAGAUAAAGCAAAAAUCAGGGGUCACCUGCUAUGCAGAGAUUUCUGUGCUGGGUUAGAAGCAGCAGCAGCUUUCCUGGAUUUGUCAUAUUGGAAGCAGAAGAAUUUUAUCAGCCAUCCAAGAAAUGUGUUCCUGCUACCCCAGCAUAUUCUCCUAGUUCUAAAGUUACGUCUAACACCAUUUCUCUUUCUUUUGUGUCAAUCAAAUAUCUAACAAACCUAUAUUGGUGUGGCUAGCCUUAUGCCGU
This 506-nucleotide long non-coding RNA is filed under the name Pan troglodytes (chimpanzee). RNAcentral's name for it is "long non-coding RNA NONPTRT009993". Lineage: Eukaryota; Metazoa; Chordata; Mammalia; Primates; Hominidae. The record is from RNAcentral.